GCAUUGGUGGUUCAGUGGUAGAAUUCUCUCCUUUCAUUACAGGAGAUUGGGUUCCAUUCCUGGCCAAUGUA
This 71-nucleotide transfer RNA is filed under the name Loxodonta africana (African savanna elephant). It matches the Rfam family "tRNA". From Rfam's summary of the family: Transfer RNA (tRNA) molecules are approximately 80 nucleotides in length. Their secondary structure includes four short double-helical elements and three loops (D, anti-codon, and T loops). The record is from Rfam by way of RNAcentral. Lineage: Eukaryota; Metazoa; Chordata; Mammalia; Proboscidea; Elephantidae.